Molecule: ribosomal RNA, 450 nt
Filed under: uncultured bacterium
Lineage: Bacteria
Description: partial 16S ribosomal RNA
Rfam family: Bacterial small subunit ribosomal RNA
Source: RNAcentral
GUGGGGAAUUUUGGACAAUGGGCGCAAGCCUGAUCCAGCAAUGCCGCGUGCAGGAUGAAAGCCUUCGGGUUGUAAACUGCUUUUGUACGGAACGAAAAGCCCUGGGUUAAUACCCUGGGGUCAUGACGGUACCGUAAGAAUAAGCACCGGCUAACUACGUGCCAGCAGCCGCGGUAAUACGUAGGGUGCGAGCGUUAAUCGGAAUUACUGGGCGUAAAGCGUGCGCAGGCGGUUUUGUAAGACAGAGGUGAAAUCCCCGGGCUCAACCUGGGAACUGCCUUUGUGACUGCAAGGCUAGAGUACGGCAGAGGGGGAUGGAAUUCCGCGUGUAGCAGUGAAAUGCGUAGAUAUGCGGAGGAACACCGAUGGCGAAGGCAAUCCCCUGGGCCUGUACUGACGCUCAUGCACGAAAGCGUGGGGAGCAAACAGGAUUAGAAACCCUUGUAGUCC